Molecule: transfer RNA, 71 nt
Filed under: bacterium
Lineage: Bacteria
Also listed under: 1 other name
Description: tRNA-Gln
Rfam family: tRNA
About the family: Transfer RNA (tRNA) molecules are approximately 80 nucleotides in length. Their secondary structure includes four short double-helical elements and three loops (D, anti-codon, and T loops).
Source: RNAcentral
UGCGGGAUCGUCUAAUGGUAGGACUGCAGAUUCUGGAUCUGCGUAUCUUGGUUCGAGUCCAAGUCCCGCAG